GAUGAACGCUGGCGGCGUGCCUAAUACAUGCAAGUCGAACGCACAGCGAAAGGUGCUUGCCCCUUUCAAGUGAGUGGCGAACGGGUGAGUAACACGUGGACAACCUGCCUCAAGGCUGGGGAUAACAUUUGGAACAGAUGCUAAUACCGAAUAAAACUUAGUGUCGCAUGACACAAAGUUAAAAGGCGCUUCGGCGUCACCUAGAGAUGGAUCCGCGGUGCAUUAGUUAGUUGGUGGGGUAAAGGCCUACCAAGACAAUGAUGCAUAGCCGAGUUGAGAGACUGAUCGGCCACAUUGGGACUGAGACACGGCCCAAACUCCUACGGGAGGCUGCAGUAGGGAAUCUUCCACAAUGGGCGAAAGCCUGAUGGAGCAACGCCGCGUGUGUGAUGAAGGCUUUCGGGUCGUAAAGCACUGUUGUAUGGGAAGAACAGCUAGAAUAGGAAAUGAUUUUAGUUUGACGGUACCAUACCAGAAAGGGACGGCUAAAUACGUG
RNAcentral lists this ribosomal RNA (496 nucleotides) under uncultured bacterium. Its description in RNAcentral is "partial 16S ribosomal RNA". It matches the Rfam family "Bacterial small subunit ribosomal RNA", at positions 28 to 507 of the family's 1533-position model. The record is from RNAcentral.